This 1343-nucleotide ribosomal RNA is filed under the name uncultured bacterium. RNAcentral's name for it is "16S ribosomal RNA". It matches the Rfam family "Bacterial small subunit ribosomal RNA", at positions 28 to 1378 of the family's 1533-position model. The record is from RNAcentral.
GACGAACGCUGGCGGCGUGCUUAACACAUGCAAGUCGAACGGAAAGGCCCUGCUUUUGUGGGGUGCUCGAGUGGCGAACGGGUGAGUAACACGUGAGUAACCUGCCCUUGACUUUGGGAUAACUUCAGGAAACUGGGGCUAAUACCGGAUAGGAGCUCCUGCUGCAUGGUGGGGGUUGGAAAGUUUCGGCGGUUGGGGAUGGACUCGCGGCUUAUCAGCUUGUUGGUGGGGUAGUGGCUUACCAAGGCUUUGACGGGUAGCCGGCCUGAGAGGGUGACCGGCCACAUUGGGACUGAGAUACGGCCCAGACUCCUACGGGAGGCAGCAGUGGGGAAUAUUGCACAAUGGGCGGAAGCCUGAUGCAGCAACGCCGCGUGCGGGAUGACGGCCUUCGGGUUGUAAACCGCUUUCGCCUGUGACGAAGCGUGAGUGACGGUAAUGGGUAAAGAAGCACCGGCUAACUACGUGCCAGCAGCCGCGGUGAUACGUAGGGUGCGAGCGUUGUCCGGAUUUAUUGGGCGUAAAGGGCUCGUAGGUGGUUGAUCGCGUCGGAAGUGUAAUCUUGGGGCUUAACCCUGAGCGCGCUUUCGAUACGGGUUGACUUGAGGAAAGGUAGGGGAGAAUGGAAUUCCUGGUGGAGCGGUGGAAUGCGCAGAUAUCAGGAGGAACACCAGUGGCGAAGGCGGUUCUCUGGGCCUUUCCUGACGCUGAGGAGCGAAAGCGUGGGGAGCGAACAGGCUUAGAUACCCUGGUAGUCCACGCUGUAAACGGUGGGUACUAGGUGUGGGGUCAUUCCACGGGUUCCGUGCCGUAGCUAACGCUUUAAGUACCCCGCCUGGGGAGUACGGCCGCAAGGCUAAAACUCAAAGGAAUUGACGGGGCCCCGCACAAGCGGCGGAGCAUGCGGAUUAAUUCGAUGCAACGCGUAGAACCUUACCUGGGUUUGACAUGGAUCGGGAGCGCUCAGAGAUGGGUGUGCCUCUUUUGGGGUCGGUUCACAGGUGGUGCAUGCCUGUCGUCAGCUCGUGUCGUGAGAUGUUGGGUUAAGUCCCGCAACGAGCGCAACCCUUGUUCACUGUUGCCAGCACGUUAUGGUGGGGACUCAGUGGAGACCGCCGGGGUCAACUCGGAGGAAGGUGGGGAUGACGUCAAGUCAUCAUGCCCCUUAUGUCCAGGGCUUCACGCAUGCUACAAUGGCUGGUACAGAGAGUGGCGAGCCUGUGAGGGUGAGCGAAUCUCGGAAAGCCGGUCUCAGUUCGGAUUGGGGUCUGCAACUCGACCUCGUGAAGUCGGAGUCGCUAGUAAUCGCAGAUCAGCAACGCUGCGGUGAAUAAGUUCCCGGG